GAUAAACGCUAGCGGCAGGCUUAACACAUGCAAGUCGAGGGGCAGCAAUGAGUUUUGGUGGCGACCGGCAGACGGGGGCGUAACGCGUGGACAACCUACCCUUAACAGGGGAAUAACGGAGGGAAACUUCCACUAAUACCCCAUAACCUCCCAAGAGGCCUCUGUUGGCGUUGAAAGCUCCGGCGGUUAAGGAUGGGCACGCGUUGUAUUAGAUUGUUGGUAAGGUAACGGCUAACCAAGUCUACGAUACAUAGGGGGAAUGAGAGGUUAACCCACCACACUGGUACUGAGACACGGACCAGACUCCGACGGGAGGCAGCAGUGAGGAAUAUUGGUCAAUGGACGCAAGUCUGAACCAGCCAUGCCGCGUGCAGGAAGACGGCUCUAUGAGUUGUAAACUGCGUUUGCAAGAGGAUAAUUGCGGGUACGUGUACCCGCUUGAAGGUACCUUGCGAAUAAGGAUCGGCUAACUCCGUGCCAGCAGCCGCCGUAA
This 493-nucleotide ribosomal RNA is filed under the name uncultured bacterium. RNAcentral's name for it is "partial 16S ribosomal RNA". It matches the Rfam family "Bacterial small subunit ribosomal RNA", at positions 28 to 523 of the family's 1533-position model. The record is from RNAcentral.